This 468-nucleotide ribosomal RNA is filed under the name uncultured bacterium. Its description in RNAcentral is "partial 16S ribosomal RNA". It matches the Rfam family "Bacterial small subunit ribosomal RNA", at positions 28 to 507 of the family's 1533-position model. The record is from RNAcentral.
GACGAACGCUGGCGGCGGGCUUAACACAUGCAAGUCGAACGGAAAGGCCCUGCUUUUGUGGGGUGCUCGAGUGGCGAACGGGUGAGUAACACGUUAGUAACCUGCCCUUGACUUUGGGAUAACUUCAGGAAACUGGGGCUAAUACCGGAUAGGAGCUCCUGCUGCAUGGUGGGGGUUGGAAAGUUUCGGCGGUUGGGGAUGGACUCGCGGCUUAUCAGCUUGUUGGUGGGGUAGUGGCUUACCAAGGCUUUGACGGGUAGCCGGCCUGAGAGGGUGACCGGACACAUUGGGACUGAGAUACGGCCCAGACUCCUACGGGAGGCAGCAGUGGGGAAUAUUGCACAAUGGGCGGAAGCCUGAUGCAGCAAAGCAGCGUGCGGGAUGACGGCCUUCGGGUUGUAAACCGCUUUCGCCUGUGACGAAGCGUGAGUGACGGUAAUGGGUAAAGAAGCACCGGCUAACUACGUG